ACGGGAGGCAGCAGUGGGGAAUAUUGCACAAUGGGCGCAAGCCUGAUGCAGCGACGCCGCCUGAGGGAUGACGGCCUUCGGGUUGUAAACCUCUUUCAGUAGGGAAGAAGCGAAAGUGACGGUACCUGCAGAAGAAGCGCCGGCUAACUACGUGCCAGCAGCCGCGGUAAUACGUAGGGCGCAAGCGUUAUCCGGAAUUAUUGGGCGUAAAGAGCUCGUAGGCGGUUUGUCGCGUCUGCCGUGAAAGUCCGGGGCUCAACUCCGGAUCUGCGGUGGGUACGGGCAGACUAGAGUGAUGUAGGGGAGACUGGAAUUCCUGGUGUAGCGGUGAAAUGCGCAGAUAUCAGGAGGAACACCGAUGGCGAAGGCAGGUCUCUGGGCAUUAACUGACGCUGAGGAGCGAAAGCAUGGGGAGCGAACAGGAUUAGAUACCCUGGUAGUCCAUGCCGUAAACGUUGGGCACUAGGUGUGGGGGACAUUCCACGUUUUCCGCGCCGUAGCUAACGCAUUAAGUGCCCCGCCUGGGGAGUACGGCCGCAAGGCUAAAACUCAAAGGAAUUGACGGGGGCCCGCACAAGCGGCGGAGCAUGCGGAUUAAUUCGAUGCAACGCGAAGAACCUUACCAAGGCUUGACAUGAACCGGAAACGCCUGGAAACAGGUGCCCCGCUUGCGGUCGGUUUACAGGUGGUGCAUGGUUGUCGUCAGCUCGUGUCGUGAGAUGUUGGGUUAAGUCCCGCAACGAGCGCAACCCUCGUUCUAUGUUGCCAGCACGUGAUGGUGGGGACUCAUAGGAGACUGCCGGGGUCAACUCGGAGGAAGGUGGGGACGACGUCAAAUCAUCAUGCCCCUUAUGUCUUGGGCUUCACGCAUGCUACAAUGGCCGGUACAAAGGGUUGCGAUACUGUGAGGUGGAGCUAAUCCCAAAAAGCCGGUCUCAGUUCGGAUUGGGGUCUGCAACUCGACCCCAUGAAGUCGGAGUCGCUAGUAAUCGCAGAUCAGCAACGCUGCGGUGAAUACGUUCCCGGGCCUUGUACACACCGCCCGUCAAGUCACGAAAGUUGGUAACACCCGAAGCCGGUGGCCUAACCCCUUGUGGGAGGG
RNAcentral lists this ribosomal RNA (1102 nucleotides) under Arthrobacter sp. RNAcentral describes it as "bacterial SSU rRNA". It matches the Rfam family "Bacterial small subunit ribosomal RNA", at positions 341 to 1450 of the family's 1533-position model. The record is from RNAcentral. Lineage: Bacteria; Bacillati; Actinomycetota; Actinomycetes; Micrococcales; Micrococcaceae.